AGAGUUUGAUCAUGGCUCAGAUUGAACGCUGGCGGCAGGCCUAACACAUGCAAGUCGAACGGUAACAGGAAACAGCUUGCUGUUUCGCUGACGAGUGGCGGACGGGUGAGUAAUGUCUGGGAAACUGCCCGAUGGAGGGGGAUAACUACUGGAAACGGUAGCUAAUACCGCAUAACGUCGCAAGACCAAAGAGGGGGACCUUAGGGCCUCUUGCCAUCGGAUGUGCCCAGAUGGGAUUAGCUAGUAGGUGGGGUAAAGGCUCACCUAGGCGACGAUCCCUAGCUGGUCUGAGAGGAUGACCAGCCACACUGGAACUGAGACACGGUCCAGACUCCUACGGGAGGCAGCAGUGGGGAAUAUUGCACAAUGGGCGCAAGCCUGAUGCAGCCAUGCCGCGUGUAUGAAGAAGGCCUUCGGGUUGUAAAGUACUUUCAGCGGGGAGGAAGGGAGUAAAGUUAAUACCUUUGCUCAUUGACGUUACCCGCAGAAGAAGCACCGGCUAACUCCGUGCCAGCAGCCGCGGUAAUACGGAGGGUGCAAGCGUUAAUCGGAAUUACUGGGCGUAAAGCGCACGCAGGCGGUUUGUUAAGUCAGAUGUGAAAUCCCCGGGCUCAACCUGGGAACUGCAUCUGAUACUGGCAAGCUUGAGUCUCGUAGAGGGGGGUAGAAUUCCAGGUGUAGCGGUGAAAUGCGUAGAGAUCUGGAGGAAUACCGGUGGCGAAGGCGGCCCCCUGGACGAAGACUGACGCUCAGGUGCGAAAGCGUGGGGAGCAAACAGGAUUAGAUACCCUGGUAGUCCACGCCGUAAACGAUGUCGACUUGGAGGUUGUGCCCUUGAGGCGUGGCUUCCGGAGCUAACGCGUUAAGUCGACCGCCUGGGGAGUACGGCCGCAAGGUUAAAACUCAAAUGAAUUGACGGGGGCCCGCACAAGCGGUGGAGCAUGUGGUUUAAUUCGAUGCAACGCGAAGAACCUUACCUGGUCUUGACAUCCACGGAAGUUUUCAGAGAUGAGAAUGUGCCUUCGGGAACCGUGAGACAGGUGCUGCAUGGCUGUCGUCAGCUCGUGUUGUGAAAUGUUGGGUUAAGUCCCGCAACGAGCGCAACCCUUAUCCUUUGUUGCCAGCGGUCCGGCCGGGAACUCAAAGGAGACUGCCAGUGAUAAACUGGAGGAAGGUGGGGAUGACGUCAAGUCAUCAUGGCCCUUACGACCAGGGCUACACACGUGCUACAAUGGCGCAUACAAAGAGAAGCGACCUCGCGAGAGCAAGCGGACCUCAUAAAGUGCGUCGUAGUCCGGAUUGGAGUCUGCAACUCGACUCCAUGAAGUCGGAAUCGCUAGUAAUCGUGGAUCAGAAUGCCACGGUGAAUACGUUCCCGGGCCUUGUACACACCGCCCGUCACACCAUGGGAGUGGGUUGCAAAAGAAGUAGGUAGCUUAACCUUCGGGAGGGCGCUUACCACUUUGUGAUUCAUGACUGGGGUGAAGUCGUAACAAGGUAACCGUAGGGGAACCUGCGGUUGGAUCACCU
Molecule: ribosomal RNA, 1530 nt
Filed under: Escherichia coli KTE183
Lineage: Bacteria; Pseudomonadati; Pseudomonadota; Gammaproteobacteria; Enterobacterales; Enterobacteriaceae
Also listed under: 4 other names
Description: bacterial SSU rRNA
Rfam family: Bacterial small subunit ribosomal RNA
Source: RNAcentral